GACGAACGCUGGCGGCGUGCUUAACACAUGCAAGUCGAACGGAAAGGCCCUGCUUUUGUGGGGUGCUCGAGUGGCGAACGGGUGAGUAACACGUGAGUAACCUGCCCUUGACUUUGGGAUAACUUCAGGAAACUGGGGCUAAUACCGGAUAGGAGCUCCUGCUGCAUGGUGGGGGUUGGAAAGUUUCGGCGGUUGGGGAUGGACUCGCGGCUUAUCAGCUUGUUGGUGGGGUAGGGGCUUACCAAGGCUUUGACGGGUGGCCGGCCUGCGAGGGUGACCGGCCCCACUGGGCCUAAGAUACGGCCCAGCCUCCUACGGGAGGCAGCAGUGGGGAAUAUUGCACAGUGGGCGGAAGCCUGAUGAAGCAACGCCGCGUGCGGGAUGACGGCCUUCGGGUUGUAACCCGCUUUCGCCUGUGACGAAGCGUGAGUGACGGUACUGGGUAAAGAAGCACCGGCUAACUACGUG
RNAcentral lists this ribosomal RNA (468 nucleotides) under uncultured bacterium. RNAcentral describes it as "partial 16S ribosomal RNA". It matches the Rfam family "Bacterial small subunit ribosomal RNA", at positions 28 to 507 of the family's 1533-position model. The record is from RNAcentral.